AUCGAAAUGGAGCAAAAGCUCGCCAAUGGAAUUGGCGCCAGGGGACAUUGAAGAAGGAGAAUACAAAAUACAGUACGUUGAGAGAAUCCACAUUGAGGAUAUUAAGAUAAGGAAUUUCUUCCAGAAAGUGCAGCUACAAGAACCAACAUUUAGCCAAGUUGUGGUUGUGUACAGAUUGAGAAAGCAAGAGUACACAUAUGGCAUUCACGUUAGACACUUCAAAGAUAUCCC
Molecule: long non-coding RNA, 231 nt
Organism: Selaginella moellendorffii
Lineage: Eukaryota; Viridiplantae; Streptophyta; Lycopodiopsida; Selaginellales; Selaginellaceae
Exons: 3
Source: RefSeq, a predicted model, not a curated record